UGAACGUUGGCGGCGUGGAUUAGGCAUGCAAGUCGAGCGCUCAUAGCAAUAUGGGAGCGGCGAACGGCGUAGUAAGACGUAGGAACGUACCCUCGGGUCGGGGAUAGCUACGGGAAACUGUAGGUAAUACCCGAUAAUCUCUGCGGAGCAAAGGUGUGAUUCCGCCUGAGGAGCGGCUUACGCGAUAUUAGCUAGUUGGUGGGGUAAUGGCCUACCAAGGCGAUGAUGUCUAGGGGGUGUGAGAGCAUGGCCCCACGACCGGAACUGAGAUACUGUCCGGACACCUACGGGUGGCUGCAGUCGAGAAUCUUCCGCAAUGGACGAAAGUCUGACGGAGCGACGCCGCGUGCGGGAUGAAGGCCCUUGGGUUGUAAACCGCUGUCAGAGGGGAUGAAAUCUUCGGAGGUACUCCUCCGAAGUUGACAGAGCCUCAAAGGAAGCACGGGCUAAGUACGUGCCAGCAGCCGCGGUAACACGUACUGUGCGAACGUUAUCCGGAAUUACCU
Molecule: ribosomal RNA, 506 nt
Filed under: uncultured bacterium
Lineage: Bacteria
Description: bacterial SSU rRNA
Rfam family: Bacterial small subunit ribosomal RNA
Source: RNAcentral